AUACGUAGGGGGCAAGCGUUAUCCGGAUUUACUGGGUGUAAAGGGAGCGUAGGUGGCUUGGCAAGCCAGAAGUGAAAACCCGGGGCUUAACCCCCGCGGAUUGCUUUUGGAACUGUUAGGCUUGAGUGCAGGAGGGGCAGGCGGAAUUCCUGGUGUAGCGGUGAAAUGCGUAGAUAUCAGGAGGAACACCGGUGGCGAAGGCGGCCUGCUGGACUGUAACUGACACUGAGGCUCGAAAGCGUGGGGAGC
RNAcentral lists this ribosomal RNA (249 nucleotides) under uncultured bacterium. RNAcentral's name for it is "partial 16S ribosomal RNA". It matches the Rfam family "Bacterial small subunit ribosomal RNA", at positions 523 to 769 of the family's 1533-position model. The record is from RNAcentral.